GGCCGUGUGGUCUAGUAGUAUGAUACUCGCUUUGGGUGUAAUUACAUGUUUGCGAGUGGUCCAGGGUUCAAUUCCCUGCUCGGCCC
Transfer RNA from Sugiyamaella lignohabitans, 86 nucleotides. It matches the Rfam family "tRNA". Rfam says of the family: Transfer RNA (tRNA) molecules are approximately 80 nucleotides in length. Their secondary structure includes four short double-helical elements and three loops (D, anti-codon, and T loops). NCBI's taxonomy places the organism in Eukaryota, Fungi, Ascomycota, Dipodascomycetes, Dipodascales, Trichomonascaceae. The record is from Rfam.